RNAcentral lists this long non-coding RNA (207 nucleotides) under Lathyrus oleraceus (garden pea). RNAcentral describes it as "Pisum sativum (pea) long non-coding RNA (PSAT_LNC006304)". The record is from RNAcentral. Lineage: Eukaryota; Viridiplantae; Streptophyta; Magnoliopsida; Fabales; Fabaceae.
CCAUUUGUCCCCAAUUUUUGCAUGUGAUUACUUGUGUAUGUCUAGUUUCACCAUGAUUGUUUGUAGAAUUUGUUGAGCCAUUUCCUAUUUUCUUGGGAUUUUUGUUUGCUGUUUACCAUUUUGUGAACUUUUCUUGAGUGAUCAACUUACAUGACUUGUAAAAUUCUCAUACCUUAUCAUAUGAAGAUAAAAUUUGGUGGAGUGUUU